RNAcentral lists this long non-coding RNA (1320 nucleotides) under Felis catus (domestic cat). RNAcentral's name for it is "lncRNA (ENSFCAG00000047940.1)". The record is from RNAcentral. Lineage: Eukaryota; Metazoa; Chordata; Mammalia; Carnivora; Felidae.
CUUUCCUUAAAGAGUAAUGACUUAUUUUGACAUGCGGUCACAUUGCUUGUGGAUCUUUCAAUGACAUUCUAUUCAGAAGAAACAUAGUAUCUGCCUCCAAUUUGUCCCAUGUUCUGACACUAAGACACACUGACAUUUUAUGUUGACCUGAUGUAGUUUUCAGAGAAGAUGUAAGCAGACCCUCAGUGGCUGAGGAAACAGCAGUAGGAUGCUGAGAAUUUGGCAGGUGAUAUCACAGAUACGAUGUGCUGGAAGGCAGGGGAAGACUUUUCUGGACACUUUAACUCUUUUUCUACUGCAUUCCCAGCAUCUAAGGACACCAUCCUUGUGGGGAAGGGGAUCUGAGAUGAUUGAUAGCGGUCAUUUUAACAAGGAACACAGAUACUUUCUACUAUUGUAAAGCAAGAGACAGAAGAGAAUUCGUUGAGUUGAAAACUACAGCCAAUUAGGGAAGAGAAAAAUGCUACACUGGCUCUUUGAUCUUUAUCAAAUAAUGUAGCCUUGUGUUGUGUGCAAGUAGGGUCUGUGCCCUGGAGGACAGGACUCUGGGAGGAAGGAGUCCUUCUGAUACCAGUGAUUCCAUAAAGAGACAGCUCCUGGCAGAAAACGAUUGAUUUUUUGUGCAGACUGACUAACGUGACCAGUAACACAGCAGAGAAUCGAGAAGGAAAGAAGAGCUGUUUGGGUAAAAGAAGUGAAGUCGGAAGAGAUUCAGGCUGAAGCAGCAAACUGUGGUUUGUAUAUUUUCUGUUGACCUCCUUUGUGGUUUUAAUGAUUAGUGGUUUAUUUUUCUCCCCUUUAAAUGUAUCCGCUGUGACCCCAAAGAAGUGUGUUUUUUGUCAAGAGGCAGUGAGUCUGUGUUUCAAGAGACUCAGUUGCAAUCUAGCCUAAAUUAUAGAGACAUUUUGAGGCAUUCUCAGUCUAUCUACUUUUCAUACCACAGGAGAUGAGGUAGCUGUCCUUUUAGGGAUGACUUUUAUGAAGAUUCUGUCGUUACCAUUAUUUGAAUAAGUUCGGUGCCCACAGGCAUGUAACCUAAAUCAGAGCUGCAGAUGAAACUUCAAACACACAUUCUUACGGGCUUGGAGGAUGAGUCGCGUUUGGGGCAAGGGUGGGGGUGCUGCUUUUGGACAGUGGUAACUGUUACAUUCCUCUCAGCCACGUAGAUGUUUUGUCCACUUUGGCUAAUUAAGGACUCUGGCAGUGACAAAAUCAUCCCCUAUGUGAGAGAACCUCACUGUGUAAAGUUUUGACUGGGGUUCUGGCGGAGAUGUCACAAAAUCCCCCUUUCUUGUCACAAAACUACAGAUUCCUGCCAAA